Molecule: ribosomal RNA, 401 nt
Filed under: uncultured prokaryote
Description: bacterial SSU rRNA
Rfam family: Bacterial small subunit ribosomal RNA
Source: RNAcentral
UGGGGAAUAUUGCACAAUGGGCGAAAGCCUGAUGCAGCAACGCCGCGUGAGCGAUGAAGGCCUUCGGGUCGUAAAGCUCUGUCCUCAAGGAAGAUAAUGACGGUACUUGAGGAGGAAGCCCCGGCUAACUACGUGCCAGCAGCCGCGGUAAUACGUAGGGGGCUAGCGUUAUACGGAAUUACUGGGCGUAACGGGUGCGUAGGUGGUUUCUUAAGUCAGAGGUGAAAGGCGACGGCUCAACCGUAGUAAGCCGUUGAAACUGGGAAACUUGAGUGCAGGAGAGGAGAGUGGAAGUCCUAGUGUAGCGGUGAAAUGCGUAGAUAUUAGGAGGAACACCAGUUGCGAAGGCGGCUCUCUGGACUGUAACUGACACUGAGGCACGAAAGCGUGGGGAGCAAACA